GGCGGGAUACCCAAGUGGAUAAGGGAGCGGUCUGCAAAACCGCUAUUCACCGGUUCAAAUCCGGUUCCCGCCU
Molecule: transfer RNA, 73 nt
Filed under: Candidatus Omnitrophota bacterium
Lineage: Bacteria; Pseudomonadati; Candidatus Omnitrophota
Description: Candidatus Omnitrophica bacterium (hot springs metagenome) tRNA-Cys
Rfam family: tRNA
About the family: Transfer RNA (tRNA) molecules are approximately 80 nucleotides in length.
Source: RNAcentral